Molecule: ribosomal RNA, 253 nt
Filed under: uncultured bacterium
Lineage: Bacteria
Description: partial 16S ribosomal RNA
Rfam family: Bacterial small subunit ribosomal RNA
Source: RNAcentral
GACAGAGGGUGCAAACGUUGUUCGGAAUUACUGGGCGUAAAGCGAGUGUAGGUGGUUGUCCAAGUUGGAUGUGAAAGCCUUGAGCUCAACUCAAGAAAUGCAUUCAGGACUGGGCGGCUAGAGGACCGGAGAGGAUAGUGGAAUUCCCAGUGUAGUGGUGAAAUACGUAGAGAUUGGGAAGAACACCAGUGGCGAAGGCGGCUAUCUGGACGGUUUCUGACACUAAGACUCGAAAGCGUGGGGAGCAAACAGG